This 466-nucleotide ribosomal RNA is filed under the name uncultured bacterium. RNAcentral describes it as "partial 16S ribosomal RNA". It matches the Rfam family "Bacterial small subunit ribosomal RNA", at positions 28 to 507 of the family's 1533-position model. The record is from RNAcentral.
GAUGAACGCUGGCGGCGUGCUUAACACAUGCAAGUCGAACGAUGAGGCCCAGCUUGCUGGGUGGAGUAGUGGCGAACGGGUGAGUAACACGUGAGUAACCUGCCCUUAACUCUGGGAUAAGCCUGGGAAACUGUGUCGAAUACCGGAUAGGAGCGUCCACCGCAUGGUGGGUGUUGGAAAGAUUUAUCGGUUUUGGGUGGACUCGCGGCCUAUCAGCUUGUUGGUGAGGUAAUGGCUCACCAAGGCGACGACAGGUAGCCGGCCCGAGAGGGUGACCGGCCACACUGGGACUGAGACACGGCCCAGACUCCUACGGGAGGCAGCAGUGGGGAAUAUUGCACAAUGGGCGCAAGCCUGAUGCAGCGACGCCGCGUGCGGGAUGACGGCCUUCGGGUUGUAAACCUCUUUCAGUAGGGAAGAAGCGAUAGUGACGGUACCUGCAGAAGAAGCACCGGCUAACUACGUG